RNAcentral lists this ribosomal RNA (1701 nucleotides) under Triticum aestivum (bread wheat). RNAcentral describes it as "partial small subunit ribosomal RNA". The record is from RNAcentral. Lineage: Eukaryota; Viridiplantae; Streptophyta; Magnoliopsida; Poales; Poaceae.
AUGUCCAUCGUCAAGCGUGCUUUGGGCUUCGGCGGUGGCUACGGCCAGAGCAAGCCCGUGAUAAGCUACCACACCCAGAACUCCGACUCCGUGACCACCGUCAUGACGGAGAUCAGCCACAUGAGCCUCAACGAGAAGCAGGCGGGGUACAACGGCGCCGUGCAGAAGACGGCCUCCCUCACGGAGCUGUGCUCUGAGGAUGCCGAGGUGCAGAAGCACGGCUACGGGCAGCAGGCGUACGGGGGCGACGUCGGAGGGUUCGACGCUCUCUUCCGCGACAACGCCGCGCAGAAGCACGGCGAGCAGAAGGCGUCGUCGUACCAGCAUGAGAGCGGCGCCGGAGGGUACAGCGCUCACCACCACGAAAGCUCCGUGCAGAAGCACGACGCCUAUGGCGGGCAGAAAGCGUCGUCGUACCAGCAUGGAGGCUACGAUGCUGUCAGCCACGACAGCACCGGCGCCACGCAGAAGCAUGGCUACGGUGAGCAGAAAGCUUAUGGAGCUGAAGCCCACCGCGACAGCUCGGCGCAGAAGCACGGCUACGGCGAGCAGAAGGCGUACGGUGGUCACCACCAGGACGGCAAGGUCCAGAAGAGCGGCUAUGGCGGCGAGCAUACGGCGUACCACCAGGACAGCAAGGUCCAGAAGCAUGGCUACGGCGAGAAGGCGCACGGCUACGGCGAGCAGAAGGCUUACGACAGCAAGGUCCAGAAGCACGGCUACGGCGAGCAGACGGCGUACGACAGCAAGGUCCAGAAGCACGGCUACGGCGAGCAGACGGCGUACGACAGCAAGGUCCAGAAGCACGGCUACGGCGAGCACAAGGCGUACGACAGCGCGGUCCAGAACCAGAAGCACGGCUACGGCGAGCAUGGGAGCGCCACCGCCGCCCUCCAGCACGACAGCUACGGCGGCGCGAAGAAGCACGGCUACGGCGGCGAGCAGAAGGCGUACAAGCACGGCGCUGCAGCGGGAGGGUACGACGCCGUCCACCACAACAGCUCAGUGCAGAACUACGGCUACGGCGAGCAGAAGGCGUCGUACCAGCACGGGAGCGACGCCGGAGGGUACGGCGGUGUCCACCACGGCUACGGUGGUGGGCAGAAGGCUUACGGGCACGGCGCUGAUGCCGGAGGGUACGACGCUGCUUUCCAGUACGGCGGCCCGAAGCAGACGAAGCACGGCUACGGCGGCGGGCAGAUGGCCGGAGGGUACGACUCUGCUUUCCAGCACGGCGGCUAUGGCGGGCAGAAGGCGUCGUACCAGCAAGGGUGCGACGGCGGCAUCGCCGGGUACGACGCGCUCGUCCAGAAGAAGCAGGGGAGCUACGUCGGCGGGCACAAUGCGUACCCGCAGCAAGGGUGCGCCGGCGGCGACGUCGCAGGGUAUGAUGCUCUUGUCCGACUCCGGCAGAUGCAGAAGCAGCAGCAGUACAACCAGGCCGGAUGCGAGAGCGACGAAGAGAGCGAGGAGGAUAGCGACUGCGAAGAGGAGGUGCUGGGCGGCGGAUACGGCAUGCAUAAAUACGCCGCCGGCAGCACCAUGCCCGGCGGCACGCAGUACUACUCCGCGUACGAGCGCCGCCAGCAGCUCGGCGGCGGGAGCCAGUACGAGGCGUACGAGAGCUCCACCACCCAGGGGUACUCCGGCGGCGGCUACGGCGGCGGGUGGGCGCAGCCCAAGAAGCACAGCUACUACUGA